This 500-nucleotide ribosomal RNA is filed under the name uncultured bacterium. Its description in RNAcentral is "bacterial SSU rRNA". It matches the Rfam family "Bacterial small subunit ribosomal RNA", at positions 8 to 518 of the family's 1533-position model. The record is from RNAcentral.
AGAGUUUGAUCAUGGCUCAGGAUGAACGCUGGCGGCGUGCUUAACACAUGCAAGUCGAACGGAGUUUAGAUGAAACCUAGUGAUUCUAAACUUAGUGGCGGACGGGUGAGUAACGCGUGGGUAACCUGCCAUAUACAGGGGGAUAACACUUAGAAAUAGGUGCUAAUACCGCAUAAGCGCACAGGACCGCAUGGUCUGGUGUGAAAAACUCCGGUGGUAUAUGAUGGACCCGCGUCUGAUUAGCUAGUUGGUGAGGUAACGGCCCACCAAGGCGACGAUCAGUAGCCGGCCUGAGAGGGUGAACGGCCACAUUGGGACUGAGACACGGCCCAAACUCCUACGGGAGGCAGCAGUGGGGAAUAUUGCACAAUGGGGGAAACCCUGAUGCAGCCGACGCCGCGUGAGUGAAGAAGUAUUUCGGUAUGUAAAGCUCUAUCAGCAGGAAAGAAAAUGACGGUACCUGACUAAGAAGCCCCGGCUAACUACGUGCCAGCAGCAGC